Long non-coding RNA from Magnolia sinica, 317 nucleotides. RefSeq lists it as uncharacterized. The record is from RefSeq and is a predicted model, not a curated record. The transcript has 2 exons. NCBI's taxonomy places the organism in Eukaryota, Viridiplantae, Streptophyta, Magnoliopsida, Magnoliales, Magnoliaceae.
GCUCCACAGUGUUGAUCGCCUUAAAAAUAUGAAUAUUAUACUUGCAAAUAUGUUGAUGACACAAGAGUUGAUUGAUCAUCUUUCAAUUUUAGCAACCCAACUGUUUGGUUGCUUCAUUCUUGACUUCUUUGGAGUAAAAAAAGAAAGAAAGAAAGAAAGAAAGAGAGGCUGUAUUACUGGUCAAAGAGAUAACUUGGCUGGUGGUUGAUCAGGAGGCUCAUUGGUCACUGGGAGGGGUAUUUUGUGGAGAAUCUUCUAUGAUUUUUGCAUAGAAUCAAGCAUUGCAUCACAAAUUUUACAAUGACUGGGAAAUAAUU